GCCUUUGUAGUAUAAAAAUUACUCUGGUCUUGUAAACCAGGAAUGAGAAAUCAAUUCUCCAAAGACA
Molecule: transfer RNA, 67 nt
Filed under: Orientallactaga sibirica (Mongolian five-toed jerboa)
Lineage: Eukaryota; Metazoa; Chordata; Mammalia; Rodentia; Dipodidae
Description: Allactaga sibirica (Mongolian five-toed jerboa) tRNA-Thr
Rfam family: tRNA
About the family: Transfer RNA (tRNA) molecules are approximately 80 nucleotides in length. Their secondary structure includes four short double-helical elements and three loops (D, anti-codon, and T loops).
Source: RNAcentral